Molecule: ribosomal RNA, 301 nt
Filed under: uncultured bacterium
Lineage: Bacteria
Description: partial 16S ribosomal RNA
Rfam family: Bacterial small subunit ribosomal RNA
Source: RNAcentral
CAGUCGCCGCGGUAAUACGGAGGGUGCAAGCGUUAAUCGGAAUUACUGGGCGUAAAGAGUGCGUAGGUGGUUAGAUAAGUUAUGUGUGAAAUCCCUGGGCUUAACCUGGGCAGGUCAUAUAAUACUGUUUGACUCGAGUAUGGGAGAGGGUAGUGGAAUUUCCGGUGUAGCGGUGAAAUGCGUAGAGAUCGGAAGGAACACCAGUGGCGAAGGCGGCUACCUGGCCUAAUACUGACACUGAGGCACGAAAGCGUGGGGAGCAAACAGGAUUAGAUACCCCCGUAGUCCCUGUCUCUUAUAC